UGGGGAAUAUUGCACAAUGGGCGGAAGCCUGAUGCAGCGACGCCGCGUGGGGGAUGAAGGCCUUCGGGUUGUAAACUCCUUUCGACAGGGACGAAGCUUUUGUGACGGUACCUGUAUAAGAAGCACCGGCUAACUACGUGCCAGCAGCCGCGGUAAUACGUAGGGUGCGAGCGUUGUCCGGAAUUACUGGGCGUAAAGAGCUCGUAGGUGGUUUGUCGCGUCGUCUGUGAAAUUCCGGGGCUUAACUCCGGGCGUGCAGGCGAUACGGGCUGACUUGAGUGCUGUAGGGGAGACUGGAAUUCCUGGUGUAGCGGUGAAAUGCGCGGAUAUCAGGAGGAACACCGAUGGCGAAGGCAGGUCUCUGGGCAGUAACUGACGCUGAGGAGCGAAAGCAUGGGUAGCGAACAGGAUUAGAUACCCUGGUAGUCCAUGCCGUAAACGGUGGGCGCUAGGUGUAGGGGGCUUCCACGUCUUCUGUGCCGUAGCUAACGCAUUAAGCGCCCCGCCUGGGAGUACGGCCGCAAGGCUA
RNAcentral lists this ribosomal RNA (529 nucleotides) under uncultured bacterium. Its description in RNAcentral is "bacterial SSU rRNA". It matches the Rfam family "Bacterial small subunit ribosomal RNA", at positions 355 to 896 of the family's 1533-position model. The record is from RNAcentral.